AACGAACGCUGGCGGCAGGCUUAACACAUGCAAGUCGAGCGCCCCGCAAGGGGGGCGGCAGACGGGUGGGUAACGCGUGGGAAUCUACCUUUUGCUACGGAAUAACUCAGGGAAACUUGUGCUAAUACCGUAUGUGUCCUUCGGGAGAAAGAUUUAUCGGCAAGAGAUGAGCCCGCGUUGGAUUAGCUAGUUGGUGAGGUAAUGGCUCACCAAGGCGACGAUCCAUAGCUGGUCUGAGAGGAUGAUCAGCCACAUUGGGACUGAGACACGGCCCAAACUCCUACGGGAGGCAGCAGUGGGGAAUAUUGGACAAUGGGCGCAAGCCUGAUCCAGCCAUGCCGCGUGAGUGAUGAAGGCCCUAGGGUUGUAAAGCUCUUUCACCGGUGAAGAUAAUGACGGUAACCGGAGAAGAAGCCCCGGCUAACUUCGUGCCAGCCGCCGCGGUAA
RNAcentral lists this ribosomal RNA (447 nucleotides) under uncultured bacterium. RNAcentral describes it as "partial 16S ribosomal RNA". It matches the Rfam family "Bacterial small subunit ribosomal RNA", at positions 29 to 523 of the family's 1533-position model. The record is from RNAcentral.